UCUUUUAUAGCCCUUACAAAAGAAAGGACAAAUUGCAUUCGUCGGUUAGAUAUAAAUUAAACUAAACACACACAGUCCUUUCUAUUCAUUGGAUGCCCAAACAUCCGUCCCUCCUGGAAGAUAGCCAUCAAUCAAACUGUUAUCUCUAGUGCCCGUGUUUUCUUUGACUGUCUCCCAAAUGUCUCUGCAUUGCUUCCUUUUAUUUGGCUGAACGACUUCAAGCAGGAACCCCUUCAGGGCUGCUGCUGCUGCCUCCCAGGGCAACCCUUCCUUGCCCCAAAUACAUUUCAGGACUAUAGCUGUCUGCUCCUGAGCAGAGGAAAACAUUUCAAUCCUAAUCUAUCCUCUUCAGUCUCUCCUCGUUCUCCAUCCUCGUCCCAUCCGUCUCCGCUCUGGGCCUCACAAUCAGUUCCAACUCCCAGAAUUCCAUAGCUUUGAGCCAGAAAAGUGUUAAAGCGGUGCCAAACCGGGUCUUUUUCUCCAGUGUGGAUGCAGCCCUUCUAUGCCUUUACAACAAGACACACCUGGCGCAGUAACAAAGUUACUGAGCCCCAGAGGCUGGAAAAGGGCAACGGCUUCGUCUGCCACUACUGAGCAUGCGCGAAGGAUGGGCGUGACCAGAGUCUGUGACGUCUUAGGCCACGCCUCUCGUUCCGCUGGCGGCGAGCGAAGAAAACGGGGAAGUAGCGCAUGCGCUCUAUACGACACUGAAACACUUCCGCUUCCGGCAGAAGUGGCGGCAGGAUGUUGGGAGACUUAUUAUUGUUCGGGACACUGCUGGCCAAUGCAGGAGCCGUGCUGAACUUCCGGCUGUGAGUGCUGGGGUCGGGGAUUGCUCU
Molecule: long non-coding RNA, 839 nt
Organism: Sceloporus undulatus (fence lizard)
Lineage: Eukaryota; Metazoa; Chordata; Lepidosauria; Squamata; Phrynosomatidae
Exons: 3
Source: RefSeq, a predicted model, not a curated record